GUAGAGAAGCGCUAACACUUAGAAGAAAAGCAUAACACAUUUUCUGCGUGGAAUCUGCUGGACCUAUAGGAGCAGGGGCGGGGUGAACAGGCAGACGGGUCCGCCCUUGUGGAGCUCACAUUUCAUGAGCCAGGAGUGCUGGGUGCCUGACUGCCUGGUCUGUGAUGACCCUGACGCUGGCUUGCAUGUGUGGGGCCUUACGUCACAGCACGGGUGGGACAGGGGCAGGGCCAGGGCAGGGGCAGGGCCAGUGUUGGGCUGGUCCAGUUGGGAGCAGCCCAGGGUCCCGUCGGGUCAGGGGCCUGUUUUCCAGGCCUGGGCACCUGCUGAAGCUCUGGUUACCGGCACCAGUCUGCAAAGUGGGUUGGGUGGUGGCAGCCUUCAGGAUGGGCUGGGAGGGCAUACUGGGGGAGGGGAAGGGUGACCACAUGGGUGGGGGACCAGGUGCCACUGCAGCCUGCUCCCCACAGUGGGCAGCCAGAAUCCCUAGUGUCCAGCACCCACACGUGGCGGCCUUGGCAUCUGAGUGGCUUUCCCUGUGAGCCCCUCCUUGCAGGAUGGACCCUCUGGGAGUGAGGAGUAAAAGUGUUGGGCCGUGCAGCCCCUGCCUCCUCACUGGUGGGACCCUGCCCUGCUGUGCAGUGGGGUCCUUCGUGCUGGGAUCUUUGUGGUCCCCGUUCUUGGAGAGAUGCCCGGGGCGGCAGACAGGAAGGGUGGAGGGCAAAGGGAGGGGAGGAGAGAGAGGCAGGCCGAGGGGUGGGUCGGGGGGUGGGCUGGGGCAGUGACUUCUGUGGAGGAGAAGCCUUUCAUAAGCUCCAGCCUUCCUGUGGCCACAGCAGGACCAGAGUGGACCAGCACACCCCAGGAGAGAGGACUGGGGUCCCAGGAGUAGGAGGAGGUGGGUGACUUCCCUGUGGUCCUGAGGCUGGGUGGAUAAGGGGCUGCCAGGAGAUCCACUCAGCCUGUGAUCUGAGGGUGACUGACUUUCAGAAAAGUCUAGAUAGAGGCCAAGUGCCCCUGUGAGCCACAGGACCGGGGUGCCCAGCACGCACAGGGUGUGGCCAGGAGGGGCC
RNAcentral lists this long non-coding RNA (1073 nucleotides) under Homo sapiens (human). RNAcentral's name for it is "non-protein coding lnc-ARFGAP1-4:2". The record is from RNAcentral. Lineage: Eukaryota; Metazoa; Chordata; Mammalia; Primates; Hominidae.